CCCGACUGCUAUUUGGGUGAGGAUAAGCCAUGCGAGUCGAAUGGGAUACCUAAAUUUCCCAUGGCGAACUGCUCAAUAACACAUGAUCAACUUACCCUAUAGAGAAAAAUAACCUCGGGAAACUGAGGAUAAUGUUUCAUAGUUGAAAAGGCUUGGAAAAGUUUUUCGACCAAAGGGAUAAGAAAAAUGGUUUUUAUCCGCUAUAGGAUAGGAUCGUGGCCGAUUAUGGUCGUUGGUGAGGUAAUGGCUCACCAAGCCGAUAAUCGAUAGGGGCCGUGAGAGCGGGAGCCCCGAGAUGGGUACUGAGACAGCGACCCAGGCCUUACGAGGCGCAGCAGGCGCGGAACCUCCGCAAUACACGAAAGUGUGACGGGGUUACCCAAAGUGUUCAAUUUUGAACUGUGGUAGGUGAGUAAUGUUCCCUACUAGAAAGGAGAGGGCAAGGCUGGUGCCAGCCGCCGCGGUAAAACCAGCUCUUCAAGUGGUCGGGAUAAUUAUUGGGCUUAAAGUGUCCGUAGCCGGUUUAGUAAGUUCCUGGUAAAAUCGGGUAGCUUAACUAUCUGUAUGCUAGGAAUACUGCUAUACUAGAGGACGGGAGAGGUCUGAGGUACUACAGGGGUAGGGGUGAAAUCUUAUAAUCCUUGUAGGACCACCAGUGGCGAAGGCGUCAGACUGGAACGUGCCUGACGGUGAGGGACGAAAGCCAGGGGAGCGAACCGGAUUAGAUACCCGGGUAGUCCUGGCCGUAAACGAUGCAUACUAGGUGAUGGCAUGGCCAUGAGCCGUGUCAGUGCCGUAGGGAAACCGUUAAGUGUGCCGCCUGGGAAGUACGGUCGCAAGGCUAAAAC
This 848-nucleotide ribosomal RNA is filed under the name uncultured archaeon. Its description in RNAcentral is "bacterial SSU rRNA". It matches the Rfam family "Archaeal small subunit ribosomal RNA", at positions 21 to 855 of the family's 1478-position model. The record is from RNAcentral.